This 1299-nucleotide unclassified non-coding RNA is filed under the name Hevea brasiliensis (rubber tree). Lineage: Eukaryota; Viridiplantae; Streptophyta; Magnoliopsida; Malpighiales; Euphorbiaceae. The record is from RNAcentral.
AUUAAAUGGGUCAUUUAACUAACAUUUUCUGAUGUACAAAACCCUCGAGAGAGGCAAAUGUAAAACAUACCAAGGCCUUUAUAUGAAAAAGAGAAAACCUCAGAUAAACUAAUAGUAAUUUAUUUGAUGUUCCAAACAUAUUAAAACCCUCACUUACAUAUAAGAAGAGGGGAGAUAAACACAGCUAAUGCAAUGGCUUGCGCAGCGCUCAUUGGCUUCUCAGUGUUUUUUUAUCCUUGGUGUCAGCUAUCCCAGCAAGUGGACGAGCUCUGAGACCCCAGAGAUGCUCACGCCUCGACUAUGAGAAAACCGUCCUCCGAGUUACAACAGCUUGAAACUCAAGGGAAACACAAUCGACGACCACAAAAACAGAGAACCCUCUUCCGAAAAAACCUCAUGACCUGCGAACAAACACCCACCGCAAAAUAUAUAUACAUCUAACCCGGAGGUGGGGUAAACCACCCAUAGUCCGGGCCGUAAGAGGAAACCUUCCCCUAUCCACAGAGAAACGAAAAGUGAGCCCGAGGGAAGAAAACCGAAAAAACGGUGGCUUUUCUCCCUCCAGAAUAUUUGCCUAAUGGAAGAAAUUUAGUUAGGUUGGUGAGAGCUAGAUAUAGUGCUUUUGACUGACAAGAAACGCACUAACAUGCUAUAAAUAAAAAAGAUUGUAUGCUCAACUUGAUGUGAGAAGCUAUAUUGAGACUGACUUUGAUACUAUUUUAAUAAAUUGAAAUGUCAAUGUAGAACACAUUUAAACUCUUUGCUACUGUUGGCCCCAAUCAACGAUUUCUCCUCAACUGCACAAUGAUUUGAACUAUUAUUAUAUAAACUAUUUCAGGGAAAAAAGAAAUAAACAUUAGAUACUUGAUUUUCUUUCUAAAACUCAAGCGCUAAGCUUGAUUAACUAAUUUUUUAUAAUUUAGAUAAAAGAAAGAAUCAAAUGCAAGGCAUUUCAGAAAGAGGAUUAUACGUGAAUGCUUUCAAGGCAUGCUUACUGCCUAUGAAACUAAAUGUAUGUGCUAUACAAUAUCUAGUAUUUGUACAUUUAACCGUUUAUGAAGCAAAAUAUAGACAAUGAAUUCAACUACUCUUGUGCAGAUCCUGUAUAAACUCCUUUUGGGUCACCAAUGGAUGACCCACCUUGCCAGCACAGAGAUAGCAUGUUGGAAAUUCCUCCAUCAGCUCUUAUGACCCGUAAUCCUGAAUAGUUCUAUAACAAUCUCUGUCAGAAACCCAUAAGUCUCCGCACUCAACAGGGCUAAGCAAAAUUUCCAGUUGACACCUUCAAAUAUCAAUAUC